Molecule: ribosomal RNA, 279 nt
Filed under: uncultured bacterium
Lineage: Bacteria
Description: partial 16S ribosomal RNA
Rfam family: Bacterial small subunit ribosomal RNA
Source: RNAcentral
UGCCAGCAGCCGCGGUAAUACGGAGAGGGCAAGCGUUGUUCGGAUUUACUGGGCAUAAAGCGCACGUAGGCGGAUCAGUAAGUCGGUUGUGAAAUCCCAGGGCUUAACCCUGGAACUGCUUCCGAAACUACUAAUCUUGAGGAUGAGAGGGGAGAGUGGAACUUCUGGUGGAGCGGUGAAAUGCGUAGAUAUCAGAAGGAACACCGGUGGCGAAAGCGACUCUCUGGCUCAUAUCUGACGCUGAGGUGCGAAAGCUAGGGUAGCAAACGGGAUUAGAUA